This 241-nucleotide ribosomal RNA is filed under the name Clostridioides difficile. RNAcentral describes it as "partial 23S ribosomal RNA". It matches the Rfam family "Bacterial large subunit ribosomal RNA", at positions 1224 to 1465 of the family's 2925-position model. The record is from RNAcentral. Lineage: Bacteria; Bacillati; Bacillota; Clostridia; Peptostreptococcales; Peptostreptococcaceae.
AUGGGUAGGGGAGCUUCCCAUACGGGUUGAAGCAUGACCGUAAGGACAUGUGGACAGUAUGGGAGUGAGAAUGUUGGCAUGAGUAGCGAGAUGUGGGUGAGAAUCCCACAGGCCGUAAACCCAAGGUGUCCAGGGGAAGGUUCGUCCGCCCUGGGUUAGUCGGGACCUAAGCUGAGGCCGAAAGGCGUAGGUGAUGGACAACAGGUUGAUAUUCCUGUACUGCCGAUAACCGUUUGAGAGA